AGUCGACGAAACUUCUUUAUCACCGAGUGCUUGCACUCACCGAUAAUUAGUUGAGUGGCGAACGGGUGAGUAACACGUGGGCAACCUGCCCAAAAGAGGGGGAUAACACUUGGAAACAGGUGCUAAUACCGCAUAACCAUAGUUACCGCAUGGUAACUAUGUAAAAGGUGGCUAUACUACCGCUUUUGGAUGGGCCCGCGGCGCAUUAGCUAGUUGGUAGGGUAAAGGCUUACCAAGGCAAUGAUGCGUAGCCGAAUUGAGAGGUUGAUCGGCCACAUUGGGACUGAGACACGGCCCAAACUCCUACGGGAGGCAGCAGUAGGGAAUCUUCCACAAUGGGCGAAAGCCUGAUGGAGCAACGCCGCGUGGGUGAAGAAGGUCUUCGGAUCGUAAAACCCUGUUGUUAGAGAAGAAAGUGCGUGAGAGUAACUGUUCACGUUUCGACGGUAUCUAACCAGAAAGCCACGGCUAACUACGUGCCAGCAGCCGCGGUAAUACGUAGGUGGCAAGCGUUAUCCGGAUUUAUUGGGCGUAAAGGGAACGCAGGCGGUCUUUUAAGUCUGAUGUGAAAGCCUUCGGCUUAACCGGAGUAGUGCAUUGGAAACUGGGAGACUUGAGUGCAGAAGAGGAGAGUGGAACUCCAUGUGUAGCGGUGAAAUGCGUAGAUAUAUGGAAGAACACCAGUGGCGAAAGCGGCUCUCUGGUCUGUAACUGACGCU
RNAcentral lists this ribosomal RNA (719 nucleotides) under uncultured bacterium. RNAcentral's name for it is "bacterial SSU rRNA". It matches the Rfam family "Bacterial small subunit ribosomal RNA", at positions 60 to 747 of the family's 1533-position model. The record is from RNAcentral.